AUGGCUAAGGGCGAUGGUAUGGGGUCUGUAUAAGGGCAAACCCCAAAAACUGCCUUCUUGCCUUCUGUCUGGGUGAAGCCAGGCUGUGCCUCAGAGAGGAUGCUCCCUGAGGAAGAGGUUUACCUUGUGUAAUUGUGUGGCUUGUCUGCUGAUCGUGAUGUGCUAAAACUGUGCUUUGGGGGAUUUUAUGGAAUGUAGAGCUUAUUGCAACAGAAGUGUAAUACAGAAUUCCCUUUACUGUUCAAGACAACAUUUAAUGAUGACAGAAGAUUAAAUGGCCUGUGCAGAAUCCUUUGCCUCUGCUGCUGCUUUCCCUGAAAUACUUGAAGUACCCUGAGACCAGGAGAACUGGCACUUGUGGAUGUACUUACGGUCCACAAAGGAGGUGAAGAGCAUUCGGAAGCGGCUCAGCCUGCUGCCCUCGUCCGCCCACAUGC
This is a long non-coding RNA of Passer montanus (Eurasian tree sparrow), 437 nucleotides long. RefSeq lists it as uncharacterized. The transcript is spliced from 4 exons. Lineage: Eukaryota; Metazoa; Chordata; Aves; Passeriformes; Passeridae. The record is from RefSeq and is a predicted model, not a curated record.